Molecule: long non-coding RNA, 2070 nt
Filed under: Daphnia magna
Lineage: Eukaryota; Metazoa; Arthropoda; Branchiopoda; Diplostraca; Daphniidae
Description: uncharacterized LOC116919974, transcript variant X9
Source: RNAcentral
UCUUUUGGAUUUAGAUUGUCGUCGAAGGUGCACGUAAGUAUUCGUACUCUCCUAGUGGAAUAUCCGAAUAUUAUACGCAUUAAAAGUUUUUCUAAUAUAAUUCUGGAUGCUUUUGUGUUAAGUUGUAGGUUAGAUAUGUAUGUGAAUUUUCCGUUUUUGCUGGGGAUAGUCGCAUUAAAACAAUUAAACGACGUUAAAAUCUUUACUUGACUAGUUAUUUUAUGACGAAUGUGUGGUCAUGGUUGAGGGGUUACUGUCAUCGAGAUGACAUGUUAUUCGGGAUUGAAUUAUAAUGUGAAGUGCAGUUAAUGGUAUGGCUAGAAAUUUUAUUUGCAUGUGUCUUGUUCAAACAUUUUAAAAUUUCCUGAAGGGUAGGAUGACUGUGGAUAACUUGGUUGGCAUUUCAAAAGCUUAUACUACUUGCUUGUUUGUCUCCUAUCAGGCUGCAUCGCCUAGUUGAUCCAUGGUAAUGGCUUUGUUAAAAAUUGAGAACAUUGUGUAGGGGAUAAGAGGUUGUCAUAUUAAGUUUUUUCUAGGGUCAAUCCUCCAUUGUAGAUACAGUUGCAUGUGCCAUCAGAUCUCAUGGAUCUGAAGACAUGCUGGACCAAUACUUAGUGGUCAAGCAGCCUGGUGCCAUGCAGUACACUUAGCUGAGCCUCCUAUGUGUUAAAGUUACCAUUGAGCAAUUGCAAUUUUUUCGUUAAUGGUGACUUAACAUUAAUAUGAGAAGGUAAGAUUUGGAUUUCAAUAAAUUGCAAACGUUUUGGUAUAGAUCUGUUUCAUUAAAGUUUUCAUUGUUUAAUUUUUAACACUUCAUUAUGCUAAUUUUUCUUUCAGUUUGAUAUAGGAGGAAUUUAAAGUGAAGCUUCUUUUUCACCCUGGUGGAAUGGUGAAGGUAAAUUUGCAAAGAUGAAUGUUUUAUAAUUAAGUGGAUUAUGUGCCUAUUAGUUCCUGUCCUUUUCUGGAUUUGAUUUUGUUUUAUGGUACAUCAUUUUGUUGAUUGUGUCGUAGGUCUGCUAGUGUUGGUUGAUUAAUACCAGGUUGUUUAAGCAUGCUUCCAUUGUUGAAUUUGGAAGUGUGAUAUUGGCUAUUGUCUCCUUGUAUAAAAGGUAUACAAUGCUAAAGGUUUUAUCUUGGUCUUUAUUUUUCCAACUGAAUGUUGUAACCUCUGUUUCUUAAAAUUGAUAAAGGUUGGUCUUUUGGUAUGGCCGGCUAGCUAGGUUUUUCCGUUGCCCGUUUCUUCUGCUACCUAGAGGUAUUGUUUAUUCUAGAAAUAGGUGCAUUUUCUGAAAUUGAUGUCGAAUUUAACUACAUUCCGUUUGGUUGUCGAUCUCUAAAAAUUUGAAUUAGCUGAGUGUAUGAAAUUCUUUCUUUUCAGAUUUUUGCUGUGAGUUUUGACCCUUGGUUCUGUGCAUUGAAUUAGCAGUUUUCUGCUUCGGAUAAUUUCAUUAAAACUAAAUUAUUAAUAUCUUAGUUAGUUUAGUGAACAAAUUGAAAAGUAUCCAUUACCUAAGAUAUUUCGCGUUUAUAUAUUUUUCGCAUUCGUGUAAAUUUUGCGUUCCUCUUGGAUUUAUUUUGCAUGAUUGGUGAGUUUCCGAUUUAGUUGAAAAUUCGCGUGAAUCUGAGUAUACCAUUUUGCGCUGCGAUUAAUGUUGAUAUCAACUACCAUUUCGUUCUUAUUCCCUUUUUAGGUGGCUCGGUCUUAGCUAGGGGAUGUCCAAUUGUGAGUAUAUUGGUGAUGCAUUAACGACCUACUUUUUAGUGAUUAGUAGGUAUGGUCUUCGUUGGCAAAGUCUCCCACUACCUGUCCAAAAAUACACGUGAAACAAAAUUCAAUAAAUGAUAGCGAAGAUAUGGGUUUUAGUUUUUAGCAACCCAUGCAAAUCUUGUACCAAUGUUGGUCACUUUACUUUUAAUGGGCUUUGUUUAGAGCUUCUGGAUCAUAAUCGAAAAGGCCGGUGAUGGUAAUUUAACGGGAAAGAAUUGUGUCGUUAAUUCGAUGGUAUUGUUUGUGGCAUUUGGCGGAGCAUCCGAAGAUUUUCUUAAAAAUAAAAUCUCUUUUACAAUUUU